UACGGAGGGUGCGAGCGUUGUUCGGAAUUAUUGGGCGUAAAGCGCGUGUAGGCGGUUUCAUAAGUCUGAUGUGAAAGCCCCGGGCUCAACCUGGGAAGUGCAUUGGAUACUGUGAGACUUGAGUACGGGAGAGGGCAGUGGAAUUCCUAGUGUAGGAGUGAAAUCCGUAGAUAUUAGGAGGAACACCGGUGGCGAAGGCGGCUGCCUGGACCGAUACUGACGCUGAGACGCGAAAGCGUGGGGAGCAAACAGG
This 253-nucleotide ribosomal RNA is filed under the name uncultured Geobacter sp. RNAcentral describes it as "partial 16S ribosomal RNA". It matches the Rfam family "Bacterial small subunit ribosomal RNA", at positions 524 to 776 of the family's 1533-position model. Lineage: Bacteria; Pseudomonadati; Thermodesulfobacteriota; Desulfuromonadia; Geobacterales; Geobacteraceae. The record is from RNAcentral.